Molecule: long non-coding RNA, 323 nt
Filed under: Dromaius novaehollandiae (emu)
Lineage: Eukaryota; Metazoa; Chordata; Aves; Casuariiformes; Dromaiidae
Description: lncRNA (ENSDNVG00000006913.1)
Source: RNAcentral
CUUCGCUUCGCGCCUCAGAGGCCCCGUGUCCCUCCGCGCCUUCGCCGCUGCUCGGCGGCGCGGUGCCUGCGUAUCCCUCCGCACCUCAGUGCGCCUCGCGCCUCAGCAGCUAAGUGUCCCUCCGCGCGUCGCCGCCGCUGCCUGAGGCGCGGGCAGCUCCUCGGCGGCCUGCGGAGGCAGAGGCCCCGGCGCAGAUCUGUCGUUUGGUACUGUAUAUGCAAAGGAAGCAGCCAAAGAGCUGCAUGGGAGUCCAACUUACCAUGACUGACCUGUGUUUCACUUCGUACUGAGUCUGGUACAUCCUCUGUGGCUGCCUCCAGGUU